CAGCCGCCACGGUAACACGUAGGGUGCAAGCGUUGUCCGGAAUCAUUGGGCGUAAAGCGCGCGUAGGUGGCCAUUUAAGUCCGCUGUGAAAGUCAAAGGCUCAACCUUUGAAAGCCGGUGGAUACUGGAUGGCUAGAGUACGGAAGAGGCGAGUGGAAUUCCUGGUGUAGCGGUGGAAUGCGCAGAUAUCAGGAGGAACACCAAUAGCGAAGGCAGCUCGCUGGGACGUUACUGACACUGAGGCGCGAGAGCGUGGGGAGCGAACAGGAUUAGAUACCCCGGUAGUCCCUGUCUCUUAUAC
RNAcentral lists this ribosomal RNA (301 nucleotides) under uncultured bacterium. RNAcentral describes it as "partial 16S ribosomal RNA". It matches the Rfam family "Bacterial small subunit ribosomal RNA", at positions 509 to 807 of the family's 1533-position model. The record is from RNAcentral.